UCAUCAAUAAGAGAAUUGUAAGUCACUGUAUUAAUUAGGAACUGUUGAUUAGAUGCAUGAUACAGUGACUUACAAUUCUCUUAUUAA
RNAcentral lists this microRNA precursor (87 nucleotides) under Glycine max (soybean). RNAcentral describes it as "miR4413 stem-loop (gma-MIR4413a)". The record is from miRBase by way of RNAcentral. Lineage: Eukaryota; Viridiplantae; Streptophyta; Magnoliopsida; Fabales; Fabaceae.